RNAcentral lists this ribosomal RNA (506 nucleotides) under uncultured bacterium. Its description in RNAcentral is "bacterial SSU rRNA". It matches the Rfam family "Bacterial small subunit ribosomal RNA", at positions 1 to 507 of the family's 1533-position model. The record is from RNAcentral.
ACUACGAGUUUGAUCAUGGCUCAGAUUGAACGCUGGCGGCAUGCUUUACACAUGCAAGUCGAACGGUAACAGGCCUUCGGGUGCUGACGAGUGGCGAACGGGUGAGUAAUGCAUCGGAACGUGCCCAAUCGUGGGGGAUAACGUAGCGAAAGUUACGCUAAUACCGCAUAAGCCCUGAGGGGGAAAGUGGGGGACCGCAAGGCCUCACGCGAAUGGAGCGGCCGAUGUCAGAUUAGCUAGUUGGUGGGGUAAAGGCUCACCAAGGCGACGAUCUGUAGCGGGUCUGAGAGGAUGAUCCGCCACACUGGGACUGAGACACGGCCCAGACUCCUACGGGAGGCAGCAGUGGGGAAUUUUGGACAAUGGGCGCAAGCCUGAUCCAGCCAUGCCGCGUGCGGGACGAAGGCCUUCGGGUUGUAAACCGCUUUCAGCCGGAAAGAAAUCGCUGUUUUUAAUACGGACAGUGGAUGACGGUACCGGAAGAAGAAGCACCGGCUAACUACGUG